RNAcentral lists this ribosomal RNA (253 nucleotides) under uncultured bacterium. RNAcentral describes it as "partial 16S ribosomal RNA". It matches the Rfam family "Bacterial small subunit ribosomal RNA", at positions 524 to 776 of the family's 1533-position model. The record is from RNAcentral.
UACGUAGGGUGCAAGCGUUAAUCGGAAUUACUGGGCGUAAAGCGUGCGCAGGCGGUUCUAUAAGACAGAUGUGAAAUCCCCGGGCUCAACCUGGGAACUGCAUUUGUGACUGUAGAGCUGGAGUGCGGCAGAGGGGGAUGGAAUUCCGCGUGUAGCAGUGAAAUGCGUAGAUAUGCGGAGAACACCGAUGGCGAAGGGCAAUCCCCUGGGCCUGCACUGACGCUCAUGCACGAAAGCGUGGGGAGCAAACAGG